RNAcentral lists this long non-coding RNA (1183 nucleotides) under Citrus sinensis (sweet orange). Its description in RNAcentral is "long non-coding RNA (CSIN_LNC002960)". The record is from RNAcentral. Lineage: Eukaryota; Viridiplantae; Streptophyta; Magnoliopsida; Sapindales; Rutaceae.
UGACUUCCAGAUAGAACUUCAGUAGCAGAUUCUCGAAUUUUCUCAAUAAAUGGAUAGAGCACAUUCCUUUCCAUAUCUCCAUAGUAUAAAGAGCAAAGUAGAGAAGAUACAACACUUCCCUGAGGUAUACCUAUACCUUGCAGGUAAAAUUUAUUAUCAAAUUGUAGCAGAUUGCGCUUUACAUGCUCAUUUAAAAUAAAAAAGAGUUUUUCUUUCUUCACACUGCGGCUCAAACCCUGCCAGAAAAAGGAAACAGAAAAAGAUAAAUCUUUAUUUAUUCAAUGUAGACAGACUAGAUUAGAUUGCAGCAUUAGCCAGACAUCAGUACCCAAAAGAAGAAACCAUAAAUGGAACACAAAAAUGCGACCUACAUCAAGAUUGGGGAGGGUAAGGACAGAGAACAAAACCAGUGAGGUAUUCUCUUUGGUAAAAUCAACAAGGUUAUAAGGGUUAUGAAAGCAACGUUUUUUCUUAUUAUUAAAAAAAAUGGAAAAGAACAGAAAGAAACACUACUAGAAUACUAGGACAUGAAGGUCGAACAUUACAUUGUCAAAUGGCUAGCAGAAAUGCAAGAGAUUAUUUUUCAUCUUCCAAGCAGCAUCAGGCAUGAGAACAGCAUUAUGUAAGUAGCUGAUCCAAGCAUUGCAUAUUUCAUUCUGGUUACAAGAGAGUUCUUACCUGACUUACAAGAAUUCUCUGCGAUGAAGGAAAGGUGAGAGAAUUUGUCAAUCUUGUAUAACUAGUACUGGUAUUUUCGUCUGUCAAUAUAGAAUUACCAUGAACCCACAAAGAUUUCUUCAUACAGACAACUUGACAAGACUGUUCAAGAAUAUAUUCAUCCUUCAGUAUGAGAUCAUUCAUAACUCUAAGCAGUUUAUCUUGAUCAAUAGAAUCAAAUGCUUUUGAUACAUCAGAAACCACAAGGAAAACACCAGGAACAGUUAUUGAUUCCUUCCUCAGACCAAUCAGAAAUGAACAAUACUUUCUGUAGACAUCAUUGUAGUCAAAUACUGAUGACCCUAACUUGUCCUGUUCUUUCUGCAGCAAACCUUUUAGAACAACAUGCGCAUCACGAAGAACAUAAUUCACAGGCUUGAAGUGGUCAAAUUUCACCGAUUUAUAGUCCAAUUGAGCUUUCUUCCACAUUCUGGAACUUGUCGCUUCAGAACAGGACUUUUCUGCU